CCUAAAACAUGUAUCCGGCUCA
RNAcentral lists this microRNA (22 nucleotides) under Spodoptera frugiperda (fall armyworm). RNAcentral describes it as "sfr-miR-10458-3p". The record is from miRBase by way of RNAcentral. Lineage: Eukaryota; Metazoa; Arthropoda; Insecta; Lepidoptera; Noctuidae.